Rhinopithecus roxellana (golden snub-nosed monkey) is the source of this 1495-nucleotide long non-coding RNA. RefSeq lists it as uncharacterized. NCBI's taxonomy places the organism in Eukaryota, Metazoa, Chordata, Mammalia, Primates, Cercopithecidae. The transcript has 4 exons. The record is from RefSeq and is a predicted model, not a curated record.
UGUGGGCUGCGUCAGGGCCGCCCUGAGGGCGGCUUCGUGGGGACUCGGGCCCUGCCCCAGGCCUGGGCAGCGUGUGACCGCCCCCAAGUGCGGGAGGCUGCGUCUACACCCGCGCCAAGGACCCUGGAAGCCAGACACCAUGACCAGGAUGGGACAGGACUCGUGAACCCAAAUGUGAGAUCACACUAAGAUCCUAAAGGCUUUGCGCUUCUCUGGAGUGGCUGCUGUCUCAUGCACACCCGGCCUGGUGUGCUCACCCCACCCAGUGUGUCCGUCCUGCCCAGUGAGUGCCCCCCGCCUGGCCUGGACCCAGAGCCACACAGGGGCAUCCCCAGCACAUCCCGCCCCAGGAUUCCUCUUCCCUGAUUCACCUGAGCCCAGACAGCAGGUGGCAGACAUGUUCCUGCCCAGACCCGGACACCUCCACCUGCUCGGACCACUGGCUUCCCUCAGGCUUUGCCAUCAGAACAGACAGGUUCCACUCCUAGGAAAAAACCUAGGAGGUCAGGAGGUGAGAACUUCCAACCCACCUGGCUGAAGCUUCAGAGCCCACGUACCAUUUCUCUGCCUUUGCCUCCUCUUUUUCCGUUGAGGUAAUCAGCUGUUCCCUUCUCUCUGAGCCAUGGUGGGCAGCUCGUCUCCUGCAGACAUCACCCCCCAGAACUACCCCAGGCUCUGCAAGAUGCCACCCGGCAUCAGGACCUGUCAGGCCAGUGAGACAGGCGCUCCCUCUCGCAGCAGGGCCACACCCACCACGUGGGCUAAAGGCACAAAGUCUUCCUGCCAGGUGGGAGGGCACGACUGCAUGGGGCUGUCCGUCCUUCCAGAUCCUUAGAACGCUCACAGUCCUUAGGGUCCCAGGACCCACUUCUUCCUGCAGCUCUGGGUCACAGGAGCCCAGGUUCAGGGUGCAGACAAGGACCUAAAGUCCAGCCCCAGAUCCUAACCCUAACCCUAACCCUAACCUCCCCUGCAGCUCCUCUUUCUGGCCCUCUGCACGCAGGGAAGUGGUGGUCAGAGCAGGGGCACACGGGCGGGCUGGCAGCCGCCCUGUCCCCAUGCCCCCACUCCAGAUUUUCCCCUUCCCAUCCUUCCCAGAGGACCCAAGGGAGGACCAUGCCUUUAAAAAUUAUUUUUAAUUUUUUGGAUACAUAACAGUUGUACAUAUUUAUGAGGUGCGUGUGCUAUUGGGAUGCAUGCACAAUAACACCUAAUGAUCAAUUCAGGGAAACUCGAGCGUUGAUCAUUCCUUUCUAUCAGGAACAUCCCAGAUCCUCUCUUCUAGCUAUUAUGAAAUAAACGAUAAAUUAUUAACUAUAGUCACUCUACUGUGCCACCAAACAACAGGUCCUAUUUCUUCAGCCUGCAGCCCUUCAUCUCCCCCUUCCCUUCCCAGCCUCCGUGGCCACCAAUCUUCUGCAUGAGACUCACUCUCAGCUCCCACAGGAGGGAAGCGUGGGCUUCAUUCCAGUUCCAUUCACACUGCUGAGAAUGG